CUCGAACGGGAUGGCAGAGGAGGUGAGGAGGGAGGAAGCGUCCGGAGUGGGGCGGGCCCGGACUCCGACCCCCGGGGCGCUUCGAGCCCCCCAGCUGGUCACCGAGGCACCGCCGCUUCACCCAGGUGAGCACCCUGAUGAAGGCCACGGUCCUGAUGCGGCAGCCUGGGCGGGUGCAGGAGAUCGUGGGCGCCCUCCGCAAGGGCGGCGGAGACCGGUUACAGGUACCUCUGGGGCGUGCGGGGGCCGGCCGGGCUGGGGGCGGCUGGAGAGGCUUCCUGCCCAUUGGGCCUUCCCGCUUUGCUCUGCCGCGGACCCCUCCUAGCUCUCUGCCCCAAGAAAUGGCCGGGAGCUUGAAGGAGAGCGGGUUGGUUCGCCUGUCCUAAAACCCAAAUUUCAGAUUUCUCAAUAUGGUCAUGCUGCUUCCUCUAAUUGGACAGAAGGCGCCCACACCAGUACCUAGGGCCUUAUCCUCCCCAAGCCAGCGGCUCCCCAGUGAUUUCUGAUUUUGACAUGACCUUGAGCAGGUUUGCAUAUAAUGGAAAGCGAUGCCCUUCUUCUUACAAUAUUCUGGAUAAUAGCAAGAUCAUCAGUGAGGAGUGUCGGAAAGAGCUCACAGCGCUCCUUCACCACUAUUACCCAAUUGAGAUCGACCCACACCGGACCGUCAAGGAGAAGCUACCUCAUAUGGUGGAAUGGUGGACCAAAGCACACAAUCUCCUAUGUCAGCAGAAGAUUCAGAAGUUUCAGAUAGCCCAGGUGGUUAGAGAGUCCAAUGCAAUGCUCAGGGAGGGAUAUAAGACCUUCUUCAACACACUCUACCAUAACAACAUUCC
Molecule: long non-coding RNA, 836 nt
Filed under: Homo sapiens (human)
Lineage: Eukaryota; Metazoa; Chordata; Mammalia; Primates; Hominidae
Description: non-protein coding lnc-P3H4-1:1
Source: RNAcentral